CCCCUAGAUGUUCUGGGCCGCACGCGCGCUACACUGAACAGUUCAACAAGUCUUAACCUUGGCCGAUAGGUCUGGGUAAUCUUUGAACGCUGUUCGUGAUUGGGAUAGACCUUUGCAAUUAUGGGUCUUCAACGAGGAAUGCCUAGUAAACGCAAGUCAUCAGCUUGCAUUGAUUACGUCCCUGCCCUUUGUACACACCGCCCGUCGCACCUACCGAUUGAAUGGUCCGGUGAAAUCUCGGGACGGCGGCUUGGUCGCUUGCGUCCGACUGCUGAAACUUGAUUAAACCAUAUCAUUUAGAGGAAGGUGAAGUCGUAACA
RNAcentral lists this ribosomal RNA (320 nucleotides) under uncultured eukaryote. RNAcentral's name for it is "partial 18S ribosomal RNA". It matches the Rfam family "Eukaryotic small subunit ribosomal RNA", at positions 1470 to 1796 of the family's 1831-position model. The record is from RNAcentral.